This 71-nucleotide transfer RNA is filed under the name Loxodonta africana (African savanna elephant). It matches the Rfam family "tRNA". From Rfam's summary of the family: Transfer RNA (tRNA) molecules are approximately 80 nucleotides in length. Their secondary structure includes four short double-helical elements and three loops (D, anti-codon, and T loops). Lineage: Eukaryota; Metazoa; Chordata; Mammalia; Proboscidea; Elephantidae. The record is from Rfam by way of RNAcentral.
ACAUUGGUGGUUAAGGGGUAGAAUUCUUGCCUUACAUGCAGAAGGCUCGGGUUCAAUUCCCAGCCAGUGCA